Molecule: ribosomal RNA, 492 nt
Filed under: uncultured bacterium
Lineage: Bacteria
Description: partial 16S ribosomal RNA
Rfam family: Bacterial small subunit ribosomal RNA
Source: RNAcentral
AGUGAACGCUGGCGGUAGGCCUAACACAUGCAAGUCGAACGGCAGCACAGUAAGAGCUUGCUCUUACGGGUGGCGAGUGGCGGACGGGUGAGGAAUACAUCGGAAUCUACUUUUUCGUGGGGGAUAACGUAGGGAAACUUACGCUAAUACCGCAUACGACCUACGGGUGAAAGCAGGGGAUCUUCGGACCUUGCGCGAUUGAAUGAGCCGAUGUCGGAUUAGCUAGUUGGCGGGGUAAAGGCCCACCAAGGCGACGAUCCGUAGCUGGUCUGAGAGGAUGAUAGGCGACACUGGAAGUGAGACACGGUCAAGACUCCUACGGGAGGCAGCAGUGGGGAAUAUUGGACAACGGGCGCAAGCCUGAUCCAGCCAUACCGCGUGGGUGAAGAAGGCCUUCGGGUUGUAAAGCCCUUUUGUUGGGAAAAAAAAGCAGCAGGUUAAUACCACGCUGUUCUGACGGUACCCAAAGAAGAAGCACCGGCUAACUUCGUG